RNAcentral lists this ribosomal RNA (253 nucleotides) under uncultured bacterium. Its description in RNAcentral is "partial 16S ribosomal RNA". It matches the Rfam family "Bacterial small subunit ribosomal RNA", at positions 524 to 776 of the family's 1533-position model. The record is from RNAcentral.
UACGGAGGGGGUUAGCGUUGUUCGGAAUGACUGGGCGUAAAGCGCGCGUAGGCGGAUCAGGAAGUUGGGGGUGAAAUCCCGGGGCUCAACCCCGGAAUGGCCUUCAAAACUCCUGGUCUUGAGUUCGAGAGAGGUGAGUGGAAUUCCGAGUGUAGAGGUGAAAUUCGUAGAUAUUCGGAGGAACACCAGUGGCGAAGGCGGCUAUCUGGACGGUUUCUGACACUAAGACUCGAAAGCGUGGGGAGCAAACAGG